RNAcentral lists this ribosomal RNA (515 nucleotides) under uncultured bacterium. RNAcentral's name for it is "partial 16S ribosomal RNA". It matches the Rfam family "Bacterial small subunit ribosomal RNA", at positions 28 to 523 of the family's 1533-position model. The record is from RNAcentral.
GAUGAACGCUGGCGGCGUGCCUAAUACAUGCAAGUCGAGCGAAUGGAUUAAGAGCUUGCUCUUAUGAAGUUAGCGGCGGACGGGUGAGUAACACGUGGGUAACCUGCCCAUAAGACUGGGAUAACUCCGGGAAACCGGGGCUAAUACCGGAUAAUAUUUUGAACUGCAUGGUUCAAAAUUGAAAGGCGGCUUCGGCUGUCACUUAUGGAUGGACCCGCGUCGCAUUAGCUAGUUGGUGAGGUAACGGCUCACCAAGGCAACGAUGCGUAGCCGACCGGGGAGGGUGAUAGGCCACACUGGGACUGAGACACGGCCCAGACUCCUACGGGAGGCAGCAGUAGGGAAUCUUCCGCAAUGGACGAAAGUCUGACGGAGCGACGCCGCGUGAGUGAUGAAGGCUUUCGGGUCGUAAAACUCUGUUGUUAGGGAAGAACAAGUGCUAGUUGAAUAAGCUGGCACCUUGACGGUACCUAACCAGAAAGCCACGGCUAACUACGUGCCAGCAGCCGCCGUAA